AUACGUAGGGGGCGAGCGUUGUCCGGAAUGAUUGGGCGUAAAGGGCGCGUAGGCGGCGCGGUAAGUCUGGAGUGAAAGUCCUGCUUUCAAGGUGGGAACUGCUUUGGAUACUGCAGAGCUCGAGUGCGGAAGAGGUAAGUGGAAUUCCCAGUGUAGCGGUGAAAUGCGUAGAGAUUGGGAGGAACACCAGUGGCGAAGGCGCCUUACUGGGCCGUAACUGACGCUGAGGCGCGAAAGCGUGGGGAGCGAACAGGAUUAGAUACCCUGGUAGUCCACGCGGUAAACGAUGAAUGCUAGGUGUUGCGGGUAUCGACCCCUGCAGUGCCGGAGUAAACACAAUAAGCAUUCCGCCUGGGGAGUACGGCCGCAAGGUUGAAACUCAAAUGAAUUGACGGGG
This 397-nucleotide ribosomal RNA is filed under the name uncultured bacterium. RNAcentral's name for it is "partial 16S ribosomal RNA". It matches the Rfam family "Bacterial small subunit ribosomal RNA", at positions 523 to 918 of the family's 1533-position model. The record is from RNAcentral.